RNAcentral lists this ribosomal RNA (516 nucleotides) under Hemilophini sp. IBE JGZ-3878. Its description in RNAcentral is "partial large subunit ribosomal RNA". It matches the Rfam family "Bacterial large subunit ribosomal RNA", at positions 1832 to 2603 of the family's 2925-position model. The record is from RNAcentral. Lineage: Eukaryota; Metazoa; Arthropoda; Insecta; Coleoptera; Cerambycidae.
GGCCUUUUGAUAUUAAUUUAAGGUUUGACCUGCCCACUGAAGUUUUAAAGGGCCGCGGUACUUUGACCGUGCUAAGGUAGCAUAAUCAUUAGUUUUUUAAUUGGAAGCUGGUAUGAACGGUUGGAUGAGAAAAUAACUGUCUCCUUUUUAAUUUUAAUUGAAAUUUAUUUUUAAGUAAAAAAGCUUAAAUAGACUUUAAAGACGAUAAGACCCUAUAGAGUUUUAUAGAAUUGAUUUUAUUAAGUUUUUAGGAAUUUAAUUUUAAUGAGUUAAUUUUAUUUGAUUGGGGUGAUUGAAAAAUUUAAUAAACUUUUUUUAAAUAUUUACUCAUUAAUUUAUGAAAAAUUGAUCCAAUUUUAUUGAUUAAAAGAUUAAAUUACCUUAGGGAUAACAGCGUAAUUUUUUUUGAGAGUUCAUAUCGAAAAAAGAGAUUGCGACCUCGAUGUUGGAUUAAAGUUAAUUUUUGGUGUAGAAGCUAAAGGGUUAGGUCUGUUCGACCUUUAAAACUUUACAUGA